GGUACUCCUUUGGGCACCAAGAUACAGGAGCAGGGUUGCUGCUGACCCAGUCCUUAGGGAGAGAUUCACGAAGGUUCUGCUCAAUGACAUUUUGAUCCAUGGAGACAAAGUUCCUGAAUAACCCUGAAGAUGAGAGAGAGAGAGAGAGAAAGAGAGAGAGAGAGAGAAAUCAGCAACCACCAUUUGUGUGAACUUGCAUUUCCUGUUGGGAGCAAAGUGGCAAUGUAUACACUACUUCUAUGCCCAGCACUGAAAAGUACUUUGGAUGCAACUGAACUCCAAUAUGUAUAGGUCUGUGAAUGAUUUGGUAUCACAAUGAUGCUAGAGCACUGCUGAAGCAAAGUGAGCCUGAAACUGAUCAGCGUACCAAAAACCAGCGUGGUGUAGUGAUUACAGCAGGCAGAUGCAAACUGUGGCCCAUCAGAUAUUGCUGAACUACAACUCCCAUCAUCCCAGGCCAUUGGCCAUGAUUAAGGGAGCUGGUGAAAGUUGUAGUUCGUCAACAUUGAGAGGGCCAAAUGUUGCCUGCCCCUGGAUUAGAAAAUAAGACUAAGGCAAAGGGGGACAACCUUCAGCCCUUGCUCUAAUUUCAUGCAGGUGGUGGAGGACGACCCAACAGAGAAUGAUGGAAGGGUGGCGGAAUCCACUGCAAGCAAUCAGAUCAGACCUUUGACAAGAGUGAUCCAUCUCUACUGGUGGCUGGGGGGAAAUGUUCCCCAACCCUGUGCUUAAGGGUUCAAAUGCCCAAACUAGCUGUGAAGUUAAUUUAUUUACUUGGGAGACAGCCACUCUACUGCUAUUUGGUGUCACACUCACUAUCUUUCCACCUAAUCUAUUUUACAGUGUUGCUGGGAGGACAAAAUGGUGCCUGUGUGUAAAAAGCAUGUGUUUGUACAUGGCAGAACAUUUACACUGGUGGCAGCCAGCCUGGUGCCCUGUGGAUGCUGUGGAUUACCAUCCCCAUAAUCUCUGACCAUUGGCCAUACUGGCUGAGGCUGAAGGAAGUUGAAGUCUAGCAUGGCCAGUGAAAAUAGGAGUUGUAGUCUAACAGCAUCUGAAGGACACCAGGGUGGGGAACCCAUAAAACACCAGAAGCUGAUCAUGGUGCACCCAGGAAACUGAAAGUCUCACCCUUUUCUGCAAUUGUUUGCAGAUGCUUCAGCAGCUCAGGGUUUAGAUCCUUGGGCAAGAACCGGUGAGCCAGGCCAGGCAACAGGAUCCUGCAAAAUCGGCAGAAAGAAACCACAGGUUUCCCUCCUGAGUGACACUGCAUUGUUGUGGCAUCUGCCUGGACAAUUUAGUAUUCAAAGGACCCUGGGCUGCCACUACUGACCCAGCUUGGCUAUUGGAUCCUACUGGCCAGCAAAAACUGCAGCAAAAAGGGCAACAGAGUGGUGAGGAUCACAGCACAAGCCUCAGGGGGAGAGAAAGUGCUGAAGGUAAGCAUGUUUUUGUUCCUGUAACAACUGCCCAACAGACAGAAUGAAGAAGAAGCCCUGCUGGAUCAGACCAAAUGGCCAUUUAAUACAGCCUUCUCACAGCGGCCAACCAGAUGCCUGUAGAACAUAAGCACAAAAGCCCUCUCCCCAUUUCUGCUCCCUGGCAACUGAUAUUUCGAGAGACCAUAAAGAAGAGCCCUGCUUACGGAUUGAGCCAAAGGGUCUUUGGGUUGCCACACUUUGAAGAGAAAAAAAGAGGACAUAUUUGCCGACAUCUACUUUUAACUAUUUGAGGGACGCGGGUGGCGCUGUGGGUUAAACCACAGAGCCUAGGAGUUGCCAAUCAGAAGGUCAGCGGUUCGAAUCCCCGUGAAGGGGUGAGCUCCCAUUGCUUGGUCCCUGCUCCUGCCCACCUAGCAGUUCAAAAGCACGUCAAAGUACAAGUAGAUAAAUAGGUACCGCUCUGGCGGGAAGGUAAACAGCGUUUCCAUGCACUGCUCUGGUUCAACAGAAGCGACUUAGUCAUGCUGGCCACAUGACCUGGAAGCUGUAUGCCGGCUCCCUCUGCCAAUAAAGCGAGAUGAGCGCCGGAACCCUCAGUCACGACUGGACCUAAUGGUCAGGGGUCCCUUUACCCUUUACCUUUACUUUUAACUAUGGAUCUCUAUGGCGACUCUCAUAAUGAAAAAGAGGACCUGUCCUGGAAAAAGAGAGUAUAUGGCAACCCAGCAUCCUGUAAUCACAGUGGCCAACCAGAUGCCUGUGGGAAGCAGGGAAGCAGAGCCUGAUUGUAGAAUAUUAGCCACGAAUAGCAUGCUCCUCCAUGGAUUUGUCCGACUCACUUUUAAAUGUUGGCUUUUUGCAGUUUAGUAGCGCUGGGGAGA
Podarcis raffonei (Aeolian wall lizard) is the source of this 2323-nucleotide long non-coding RNA. RefSeq lists it as uncharacterized. The transcript has 4 exons. Lineage: Eukaryota; Metazoa; Chordata; Lepidosauria; Squamata; Lacertidae. The record is from RefSeq and is a predicted model, not a curated record.